Molecule: non-coding RNA, 178 nt
Filed under: Capsicum annuum
Lineage: Eukaryota; Viridiplantae; Streptophyta; Magnoliopsida; Solanales; Solanaceae
Description: Bacterial large subunit ribosomal RNA
Rfam family: Bacterial large subunit ribosomal RNA
Source: Rfam by way of RNAcentral
GAUAACAUGCUGAUGUUUUAUCGACGGAGUAGUUUGGCACUUCGAUGUCAGCUCAUCACAUCCUGGGGUUGAAGAAGGUCUCAAAAGUUUGGUUGUUCACCGAUUCAAGUGGUACGUGAGUUGGGUUUAGAACGUAGUCUAUGACACACUUAUAGAAGACGAAAGACAAACACAGUUU